RNAcentral lists this ribosomal RNA (414 nucleotides) under uncultured microorganism. RNAcentral's name for it is "bacterial SSU rRNA". It matches the Rfam family "Archaeal small subunit ribosomal RNA", at positions 459 to 872 of the family's 1478-position model. The record is from RNAcentral.
CAGCCGCCGCGGUAAUACCGGCGGCCCGAGUGGCGGCCACUAUUAUUGGGCUUAAAGCGUCCGUAGCCGGGUUGGUUAGUCUCCCGGGAAAUCUGGCCGCUUAACGGUCAGAAUUCCGGGAGAUACUGCCAGCCCAGGGACCGGGAGAGGCCGAGGGUAUUCCCGGAGUAGGGGUGAAAUCCUAUAAUCCCGGGAGGACCACCUGUGGCGAAGGCGCUCGGCUGGAACGGGUCCGACGGUGAGGGACGAAGGCCAGGGGAGCAAACCGGAUUAGAUACCCGGGUAGUCCUGGCUGUAAACGAUGCGGACUUUGUGUCGGACAAGCUAUGAGCUUGUCCGGUGCCGGAGGGAAACCGUUAAGUCCGCCGCCUGGGGAGUACGGCCGCAAGGCUGAAACUUAAAGGAAUUGGCGGG